CCGCGGUAAUACGAAGGAUGCAAGCGUUAUCCGGAAUUAUUGGGUUUAAAGGGUGCGUAGGCGGACUAAUAAGUCAGUGGUGAAAGCCUGCAGCUUAACUGCAGAAUUGCCAUUGAUACUGUUAGUCUUGAGUACAGUUGAGGUAGGCGGAAUGUGUCAUGUAGCGGUGAAAUGCUUAGAUAUGACACAGAACACCGAUUGCGAAGGCAGCUUGCUAAGCUGUAACUGACGCUGAGGCACGAAAGCGUGGGGAGCAAACA
This 260-nucleotide ribosomal RNA is filed under the name uncultured bacterium. RNAcentral describes it as "partial 16S ribosomal RNA". It matches the Rfam family "Bacterial small subunit ribosomal RNA", at positions 515 to 774 of the family's 1533-position model. The record is from RNAcentral.